NNNNNNNNNAGCUAUGAGUUUCCGUAUUCAACUUUGAUCGUCCGUCUUAUUUGAAAUUUUUUAUGAUUAGUAUUUUUAUUGUUAUUAUAUUAUAAAAUAUGAAUAAUACUUUAUGCGUGACUUAUGCUUUUUAGUUUUUCAAGAAAAAAACAAAUAAGAUGGACGAUUAAAGUUGGACACGAAAACUUAUGGCUGUGCUUAUU
Non-coding RNA from Oryza meridionalis, 203 nucleotides. Lineage: Eukaryota; Viridiplantae; Streptophyta; Magnoliopsida; Poales; Poaceae. The record is from Rfam.